UGGGGAAUCUUGGACAAUGGGCGCAAGCCUGAUCCAGCCAUGCCGCGUGAGUGAAGAAGGCCUUCGGGUUGUAAAGCUCUUUUACCAGGGACGAUAAUGACGGUACCUGGAGAAUAAGCCCCGGCAAACUUUGUGCCAGCAGCCGCGGUAAUACGAAGGGGGCUAGCGUUGUUCGGAAUUACUGGGCGUAAAGCGCACGUAGGCGGAUUGUUAAGUCAGAGGUGAAAUCCCGGAGCUCAACUUCGGAACUGCCUUUGAUACUGGCAAUCUAGAGUCCGGAAGAGGUUAGUGGAAUUCCCAGUGUAGAGGUGAAAUUCGUAGAUAUUGGGAAGAACACCAGUGGCGAAGGCGGCUAACUGGUCCGGUACUGACGCUGAGGUGCGAAAGCGUGGGGAGCAAACAGGAUUAGAUACCCGGGUAGUCCCUGAGCGGGCUGGCAAGGCGCAU
Molecule: ribosomal RNA, 447 nt
Filed under: uncultured bacterium
Lineage: Bacteria
Description: bacterial SSU rRNA
Rfam family: Bacterial small subunit ribosomal RNA
Source: RNAcentral